GUCUAGGUCUUGCCCAUCAUUGGACCUUAUGUAGAUUAGUAAAUCAUCAGUGAGCCCGAGCAACAUGUUCGGAAGCUUCGGAAAACCUUCACAAGUAUCUGCCUGGAUGCUGCUAGCAGUCAACCAAGUUGCUAUGGUUGCUUCUAUAAUAACAUUUGCGGUUGGAUUGUGGAUGAUAGCAUCACCAAAUUCCUUGUCAUAUAUUAUAGACGCCAUUGGAAUUACUCUCAUAUGGGCGCUCCUGCCUCCUUCAGCUCUGACGGUGCAGCUUGGCGUCGGGCUGGUCUUCCUCGCCAUGUUUAGCUUCUUCAUCUCGUUCAUGGGUUUUUAUGGAGCGAUCUCGAGGUCGCAGUUCCUGCUUUUCAUGUAUGCGACGUUGAACAUGCUGGUUCUUCUCCCUGGAGUGCGCUCUGCUCUUCUAUUUCUCUUCAAACUUGGUCGAGAAAGGGCAGCGCGAAAGUGACCAGUGGACGCACACACUCCGACUCACGUUCAAAUGCUGCGAAUUAAAUGUAACACAGCAGGAUGUGCAGAUCCCGUGGUCUUGUUGCGGUGUGGUGGGAUACCCUCACAACUGCACCUCCUCAACAGUCUUUCAGGACGACUGUUAUACCACCUUUUCAACUUGGUGGAGUCGCUAUCAGACCGCAAUAUAUGCUUCGCUGGCGGUGUUCCACAUCAUACUAUCGUCGUGCUCACUCCUGCGCAGAACCAGCAGUGCGUCUCGCUCGCACAGCUAGCACACGGAGCACCGUAAUGACGGUGCUCCAACUCCAAAGCCCAGAUGGCAGAAGUCCAGGGUGUCGCCCAGCGCUGAGUCGGGCGACGGAGUCCUCAUGUUGGUGCUCGGCCGCGGCAGGCUGGGCUGGGUGGACAAAACUUGAAGCUUUGAAGAAGUUACUUCAAUAAAUUAAUACACGAAUUUAACUAGAACAGCGUUUCCCAAAGUAUAGGUCGAAGGAAUAUUGAGUAACCUUUGAAACAGACUGCCACUAACGUUAAAGGUACCUAAUUUGAUGCUUAAUCUUGAAUUACAUUGAAUGCUCUUGAAAUUUGAUAAAAAUAGGUAAUAAAAGUGCAGUCACAAACGUAUGUGAACUAAUUCAAAAUUUUAAUUAGCGUUAAACUUUUGUAUACGUAUCAACAAAGGUUUUUUAUUUAUUAAAAUAAACUUUCGAUGGUUACUGUAUUUUAGAUAAAGAAGAAUGAAUAUAUAGUUUUGAAUUUAACUAGUUUUGUAGUUAGUUGUACAUCACUUUCCUUGAAAUAACCCUUUUUGUAUUUAAUUAAAGUAUUAGAUACAGAAUGAUUUUUUGUUGUUUGAAGAGUCCGUCAUUCAUGUAUGGCUCUCUUUUGCAUUUGAGAGGUAAGACGCAUUUGUAAAUGUUUUGUUAGAUCGCGAGCUACCUAACUUCGGGAACCACUGUUCUAGAAAGCUCUUUUUACGUAAUAUGCUCAAUUGAAUAAAGAUUUUGUAAUAAAUUGUUGAUUCCCUUGA
Molecule: RNA transcript, 1498 nt
Organism: Manduca sexta (tobacco hornworm)
Lineage: Eukaryota; Metazoa; Arthropoda; Insecta; Lepidoptera; Sphingidae
Source: RefSeq, a predicted model, not a curated record